GUGUAGCAGUGAAAUGCGUAGAGAUGUGGAGGAACACCGAUGGCGAAGGCAGCCCCCUGGGAUGACACUGACGCUCAUGUACGAAAGCGUGGGUAGCAAACAGGAUUAGAUACCCUGGUAGUCCACGCCCUAAACGAUGUCAACUAGUUGUUGGGGGAGUGAAAUCCCUUAGUAACGAAGCUAACGCGUGAAGUUGACCGCCUGGGGAGUACGGUCGCAAGAUUAAAACUCAAAGGAAUUGACGGGGACCCGCACAAGCGGUGGAUGAUGUGGAUUAAUUCGAUGCAACGCGAAAAACCUUACCUACCCUUGACAUGUCCGGAAUCCUGCUGAGAGGUGGGAGUGCCCGAAAGGGAAUCGGAACACAGGUGCUGCAUGGCUGUCGUCAGCUCGUGUCGUGAGAUGUUGGGUUAAGUCCCGCAACGAGCGCAACCCUUAUCAUUAGUUGCUACGCAAGGGCACUCUAAUGAGACUGCCGGUGACAAACCGGAGGAAGGUGGGGAUGACGUCAAGUCCUCAUGGCCCUUAUGGGUAGGGCUUCACACGUCAUACAAUGGUCGGUACAGAGGGUUGCCAAGCCGCGAGGUGGAGCCAAUCCCAGAAAGCCGAUCGUAGUCCGGAUUGUUCUCUGCAACUCGAGAGCAUGAAGUCGGAAUCGCUAGUAAUCGCGGAUCAGCAUGUCGCGGUGAAUACGUUCCCGGGUCUUGUACACACCGCCCGUCACACCAUGGGAGUGGAAUCUGGCAGAAGUAGGUAGCCUAACCGCAAGGAGGGCGCUACCACG
This 784-nucleotide ribosomal RNA is filed under the name uncultured bacterium. RNAcentral describes it as "bacterial SSU rRNA". It matches the Rfam family "Bacterial small subunit ribosomal RNA", at positions 673 to 1461 of the family's 1533-position model. The record is from RNAcentral.